RNAcentral lists this ribosomal RNA (442 nucleotides) under Austrolabrus maculatus. Its description in RNAcentral is "partial 12S rRNA". It matches the Rfam family "Bacterial small subunit ribosomal RNA", at positions 894 to 1527 of the family's 1533-position model. The record is from RNAcentral. Lineage: Eukaryota; Metazoa; Chordata; Actinopteri; Labriformes; Labridae.
UUAAAACCCAAAGGACUUGGCGGUGCUUUAGAUCCACCUAGAGGAGCCUGUUCUAGAACCGAUAAUCCCCGUUAAACCUCACCUUUCCUCGUCUAAUCCGCCUAUAUACCGCCGUCGUCAGCUUACCCUGUGAAGGCCCUAAAGUAAGCAAAACCGGCACACCCUAAAACGCCAGGUCGAGGUGUAGCGAAUGGGAGGGGAAGAGAUGGGCUACAUUCAAUAACUUAUAGUGAAAACGAACGGCAUCUUGAAAAAGAUGCCCGAAGGAGGAUUUAGUAGUAAAAGGAGAGUAGAGUGCUCCGCUGAAAUUGGCCCUGAAGCGCGUACACACCGCCCGUCACUCUCCCCGAAAAUUACACAAUAGAUUACUAAUAAACUAAAACCUCAAAGGGGAGGCAAGUCGUAACAUGGUAAGUGUACCGGAAGGUGCGCUUGGCAAAAC